AGUGAACGCUGGCGGUAGACCUAACACAUGCAAGUCGAACGGCAGCACAGUAAGAGCUUGCUCUUACGGGUGGCGAGUGGCGGACGGGUGAGGAGUACAUCGGAAUCUACUUUUUCGUGGGGGAUAACGUAGGGAAACUUACGCUAAUACCGCAUACGACCUACGGGUGGAAGCAGGGGAGCUUCGGACCUUGCGCGAUUGAAUGAGCCGGUGUCGGGUUAGCUAGUUGGCGGGGUAAAGGCCCACCAAGGCGACGAUCCGUAGCUGGUCUGAGAGGAUGAUCAGCCACACUGGAACUGAGACACGGUCCAGACUCCUACGGGAGGCAGCAGUGGGGAAUAUUGGACAAUGGGCGCAAGCCUGAUCCAGCCAUGCCGCGUGGGUGAAGAAGGCCUUCGGGUUGUAAAGCCCUUUUGUUGGGAAAGAAAAGCAGCAGGUUAAUACCCCGCUGUUCUGACGGUACCCAAAGAAUAAGCACCGGCUAACUUCGUG
Molecule: ribosomal RNA, 492 nt
Filed under: uncultured bacterium
Lineage: Bacteria
Description: partial 16S ribosomal RNA
Rfam family: Bacterial small subunit ribosomal RNA
Source: RNAcentral